AGGAGGAACAGCCCCAGUGGCGGGGCAGCUCUGGAGCCCUGGAUUCAGCUCCGGCAGGAACUCCGUCUGCAGGGCCUGGAGGCUCCGGGGUGGG
RNAcentral lists this microRNA precursor (94 nucleotides) under Canis lupus dingo (dingo). RNAcentral describes it as "mir-8834 microRNA precursor family". It matches the Rfam family "mir-8834 microRNA precursor family". The record is from Rfam by way of RNAcentral. Lineage: Eukaryota; Metazoa; Chordata; Mammalia; Carnivora; Canidae.